GAUGAACGCUGGCGGCGUGCUUAACGCAUGCAAGUCGAACGAAGUAUAUUGGAAUGAGUUCUUCGGAACAAAUGAAUUUAUACUUAGUGGCGGACGGGUGAGUAACGCGUGGAUAACCUGCCUUACACUGGGGGACAACAGUUGGAAAUGACUGCUAAUACCGCAUAAGCGCACAGUACCGCAUGGUACGGUGUGAAAAACUCCGGUGGUGUAAGAUGGAUCCGCGUCUGAUUAGCUAGUUGGUGAGGUAAUGGCUCACCAAGGCGACGAUCAGUAGCCGGCCUGAGAGGGUGAACGGCCACAUUGGGACUGAGACACGGCCCAGGCUCCUACGGGAGGCAGCAGUGGGGAAUAUUGCACAAUGGGCGAAAGCCUGAUGCAGCGACGCCGCGUGAGCGAAGAAGUAUUUCGGUAUGUAAAGCUCUAUCAGCAAGGAAGAUAAUGACGGUACUUGACUAAGAAGCCCCGGCUAACUACGUGCCAGCAGCCGCGGUAA
This 496-nucleotide ribosomal RNA is filed under the name uncultured bacterium. RNAcentral's name for it is "partial 16S ribosomal RNA". It matches the Rfam family "Bacterial small subunit ribosomal RNA", at positions 28 to 523 of the family's 1533-position model. The record is from RNAcentral.